CUCAGGAUGAACGCUGGCGGCGUGCCUAAUACAUGCAAGUCGAGCGAACAGACGAGGAGCUUGCUCCUCUGACGUUAGCGGCGGACGGGUGAGUAACACGUGGAUAACCUACCUAUAAGACUGGGAUAACUUCGGGAAACCGGAGCUAAUACCGGAUAACAUGUUGAACCGCAUGGUUCAACAGUGAAAGACGGUCUUGCUGUCACUUAUAGAUGGAUCCGCGCCGCAUUAGCUAGUUGGUAAGGUAACGGCUUACCAAGGCAACGAUGCGUAGCCGACCUGAGAGGGUGAUCGGCCACACUGGAACUGAGACACGGUCCAGACUCCUACGGGAGGCAGCAGUAGGGAAUCUUCCGCAAUGGGCGAAAGCCUGACGGAGCAACGCCGCGUGAGUGAUGAAGGUCUUCGGAUCGUAAAACUCUGUUAUUAGGGAAGAACAAAUGUGUAAGUAACUAUGCACGUCUUGACGGUACCUAAUCAGAAAGCCACGGCUAACUACGUGCCAGCAGCCGCGGUAAUACGUAGGUGGCAAGCGUUAUCCGGAAUUAUUGGGCGUAAAGCGCGCGUAGGCGGUUUUUUAAGUCUGAUGUGAAAGCCCACGGCUCAACCGUGGAGGGUCAUUGGAAACUGGAAAACUUGAGUGCAGAAGAGGAAAGUGGAAUUCCAUGUGUAGCGGUGAAAUGCGCAGAGAUAUGGAGGAACACCAGUGGCGAAGGCGACUUUCUGGUCUGUAACUGACGCUGAUGUGCGAAAGCGUGGGGAUCAAACAGG
This 771-nucleotide ribosomal RNA is filed under the name Staphylococcus arlettae. Its description in RNAcentral is "bacterial SSU rRNA". It matches the Rfam family "Bacterial small subunit ribosomal RNA", at positions 23 to 776 of the family's 1533-position model. Lineage: Bacteria; Bacillati; Bacillota; Bacilli; Caryophanales; Staphylococcaceae. The record is from RNAcentral.